RNAcentral lists this ribosomal RNA (497 nucleotides) under uncultured bacterium. RNAcentral's name for it is "partial 16S ribosomal RNA". It matches the Rfam family "Bacterial small subunit ribosomal RNA", at positions 28 to 507 of the family's 1533-position model. The record is from RNAcentral.
GAUGAACGCUGGCGGCGUGCCUAAUACAUGCAAGUCGAGCGAACAGACGAGGAGCUUGCUCCUUUGAUGUUAGCGGCGGACGGGUGAGUAACACGUAGGUAACCUACCUAUAAGACUGGGAUAACUUCGGGAAACCGGAGCUAAUACCGGAUAAUAUUUCGAACCGCAUGGUUCGAUAGUGAAAGAUGGCUUUGCUAUCACUUAUAGAUGGACCUGCGCCGUAUUAGCUAGUUGGUAAGGUAACGGCUUACCAAGGCAACGAUACGUAGCCGACCUGAGAGGGAGAUCGGCCACACUGGAACUGAGACACGGUCCAGACUCCUACGGGAGGCAGCAGUAGGGAAUCUUCCGCAAUGGGCGAAAGCCUGACGGAGCAACGCCGCGUGAGUGAUGAAGGUCUUCGGAUCGUAAAACUCUGUUAUUAGGGAAGAACAAACGUGUAAGUAACUGUGCACGUCUUGACGGUACCUAAUCAGAAAGCCACGGCUAACUACGUG